CACGUAGGCACCAAGCGUUGUCCGGAUUUAUUGGGCGUAAAGAGCUCGUAGGCGGUUCAGUAAGUCGGGUGUGAAAACUUUGGGCUUAACCCAAAGCGUGCAUCCGAUACUGCUGUGACUUGAGUACGGUAGGGGAGCGGGGAAUUCCUAGUGUAGCGGUGAAAUGCGCAGAUUUUAGGAGGAACACCGGUGGCGAAGGCGGCAUCCUGGACCAAUACUGACACUGAGGAGCGAAAGCCAGGGGAGCAAACGGG
Molecule: ribosomal RNA, 254 nt
Filed under: uncultured bacterium
Lineage: Bacteria
Description: partial 16S ribosomal RNA
Rfam family: Bacterial small subunit ribosomal RNA
Source: RNAcentral